AACAACUUUUUAUUUUAUUUGUGUGAAUAUUUGUAAAAAUUUUUGGGUCUUGUUGGAAUAUUUCUCGUAAAAAAAUAAGAAAUAAAUAAAUAAAAAAAAAAAAACAUACAAAAAGACUGAUAAAGCUUGGAAUCUGAGCCUAAAAGUAAACACACAAUAUCCUAGUACUCAUUUCUACCAAAUUCUGCUCAAUCUUACUGUCAAGAUGUGUUGCGGACCUUGCGGUGGUUGCUGUGGCCCCUGUGGCGGUUGCUGCGGACCAUGCUACUCCUGCUGCGGACCCUGCUAUUCCUGCUGUGGCCCAUGCUACUCCUGCUGCGGACCCUGUGGCGGCUGCUGUGGUGGAUGUGGACCCUGUUGCUAGGUGGAAUCCAAAAUAGUUUGAAAGCUUCCAGUCUAGUAAAAAUUACGAGAAUGUCCCAACUAACCCAUAGUAAAUUUUUGUUAUCGUACAUAUAAAAUAAAACGGGUCAAUUUCAA
Molecule: small RNA, 480 nt
Filed under: Drosophila mojavensis
Lineage: Eukaryota; Metazoa; Arthropoda; Insecta; Diptera; Drosophilidae
Description: GI26854
Source: RNAcentral